Molecule: ribosomal RNA, 466 nt
Filed under: uncultured bacterium
Lineage: Bacteria
Description: bacterial SSU rRNA
Rfam family: Bacterial small subunit ribosomal RNA
Source: RNAcentral
GUGAAUGCUAGUAGUUUGUAUUACACAUGCUAGUCGAACGUAAAUUUUUAUUAAUUUAAGUGGCGAACGGGUGAGUAAAACACAAGAAUUUUAUCUUUUGGUUCAGAAUACAAUAAUAUCUAUUAAUUAAAAUAGUGUAAAUAAAAUUCUGAAUAAAUUUAUAAAUUUAUUUUAUAAAAAAAAAUUAUAUUGCCAAAAGGAAAGCUUGUGCAAGAUUAGGUAGUUGGUGAGGUAAAGGCUUACCAAGCCAAAGAUCUUUAGCUGGUAUGAGAGUAUGAUCAGUCACAUUGGGAGUGAGACGAGGCCCAAGUUCCUUCGGGAGGCAGCAGUGGAGAAUAUUGGACAAUGAGCGCAAGCUUGAUCCAGCACUAUACUACGUGAGUGAAGAAGUGUUUUUUGCAUGUAAAACUCUUUUGAUGAGGAAGAUAAUGACGUUACUCAUAGAAUAAGUCCCGACUAACUUCGU